AGACACGGACCAGACUCCUACGGGAGGCAGCAGUGAGGAAUAUUGGGCAAUGGAGGCAACUCUGACCCAGCCAUGCCGCGUGCAGGAAGACGGCCCUAUGGGUUGUAAACUGCUUUUAUACAGGAAGAAACACUGGUAUGUAUACCAGCUUGACGGUACUGUAAGAAUAAGGACCGGCUAACUCCGUGCCAGCAGCCGCGGUAAUACGGAGGGUCCGAGCGUUAUCCGGAAUCAUUGGGUUUAAAGGGUCCGCAGGCGGUCAAUUAAGUCAGAGGUGAAAUCCCAUAGCUCAACUAUGGAACUGCCUUUGAUACUGGUUGACUUGAGUCAUAUGGAAG
Molecule: ribosomal RNA, 338 nt
Filed under: Polaribacter sp. PB2
Lineage: Bacteria; Pseudomonadati; Bacteroidota; Flavobacteriia; Flavobacteriales; Flavobacteriaceae
Description: bacterial SSU rRNA
Rfam family: Bacterial small subunit ribosomal RNA
Source: RNAcentral